This 916-nucleotide ribosomal RNA is filed under the name Bacillus aerius. RNAcentral describes it as "bacterial SSU rRNA". It matches the Rfam family "Bacterial small subunit ribosomal RNA", at positions 75 to 977 of the family's 1533-position model. Lineage: Bacteria; Bacillati; Bacillota; Bacilli; Caryophanales; Bacillaceae. The record is from RNAcentral.
GGAGCUUGCUCCCGGAUGUUAGCGGCGGACGGGUGAGUAACACGUGGGUAACCUGCCUGUAAGACUGGGAUAACUCCGGGAAACCGGAGCUAAUACCGGAUAGUUCCUUGAACCGCAUGGUUCAAGGAUGAAAGACGGUUUCGGCUGUCACUUACAGAUGGACCCGCGGCGCAUUAGCUAGUUGGUGAGGUAACGGCUCACCAAGGCGACGAUGCGUAGCCGACCUGAGAGGGUGAUCGGCCACACUGGGACUGAGACACGGCCCAGACUCCUACGGGAGGCAGCAGUAGGGAAUCUUCCGCAAUGGACGAAAGUCUGACGGAGCAACGCCGCGUGAGUGAUGAAGGUUUUCGGAUCGUAAAGCUCUGUUGUUAGGGAAGAACAAGUGCAAGAGUAACUGCUUGCACCUUGACGGUACCUAACCAGAAAGCCACGGCUAACUACGUGCCAGCAGCCGCGGUAAUACGUAGGUGGCAAGCGUUGUCCGGAAUUAUUGGGCGUAAAGGGCUCGCAGGCGGUUUCUUAAGUCUGAUGUGAAAGCCCCCGGCUCAACCGGGGAGGGUCAUUGGAAACUGGGAAACUUGAGUGCAGAAGAGGAGAGUGGAAUUCCACGUGUAGCGGUGAAAUGCGUAGAGAUGUGGAGGAACACCAGUGGCGAAGGCGACUCUCUGGUCUGUAACUGACGCUGAGGAGCGAAAGCGUGGGGAGCGAACAGGAUUAGAUACCCUGGUAGUCCACGCCGUAAACGAUGAGUGCUAAGUGUUAGGGGGUUUCCCGCCCCUUAGUGCUGCAGCUAACGCAUUAAGCACUCCGCCUGGGGAGUACCGUCCCCAAGACUGAAAACUCAAAGGAAUUGAACGGGGGCCCCGCACCAAGCGGAUGGAACCAUGUGGUUUUAAUUUCCAAACCAACCCCG